GCUUCACUAGCUCAGUCGGAAGAGCGUCAGUCUCAUAAUCUGAAGGUCGAGAGUUCGAACCUCCCGUGGAGCA
Non-coding RNA from Zygosaccharomyces rouxii, 73 nucleotides. The record is from Rfam. Lineage: Eukaryota; Fungi; Ascomycota; Saccharomycetes; Saccharomycetales; Saccharomycetaceae.